This is a long non-coding RNA of Haemorhous mexicanus (house finch), 4464 nucleotides long. RefSeq lists it as uncharacterized. NCBI's taxonomy places the organism in Eukaryota, Metazoa, Chordata, Aves, Passeriformes, Fringillidae. The record is from RefSeq and is a predicted model, not a curated record. The transcript is spliced from 3 exons.
GGACUAUUUUGCCUCCCAUCGCCCCCUCCGCCGCCUGCGAUGCGUUCAGCCCUGGCCCGUGAGGACGGGACUACUUUCUGCCACAGAGCUGCGGCGGCGUCCGAGAGGCAGCACAAAGGCUCCGAUCCCGAUCCCCAUCCCCGAUCCCAAUCCCGGGACGGGCUGUAACGCCGGAGCAUCGCCCGGGGGGCGGGCGGCAGGCAGAAUGAAGUUACGGUCCGUCUCCCCGCUGUUCGGGCUGAAAAGCCAUAAAUCCCGGCCUUUCCCAGAGCAGAGGGAGCAGGCGUUCCUUAUCAGCAGGAAUUGCUGCCCGGCUGAUAUGAGAAAAUCUACUUCAUGAUUUCAACGUUUUCAUUCAGUCUAGAUGUCUACAUCACACUCUCCCUCCCUCACAGAACGUGACAGCUGGAGGAGAUAACAUCUGGGCCAGAUUAAAGGCCUGGGCAUUGCAGGCUGACUCUAAAGGGCUCCUGGAGUCAUGUGAUAUUAUCAGACUCAGCUUUUACUGGAGCAAAAUUUUUAAAAAUAGAAGAAAACAGAGGGAUUUCUUUAAAUGAAGUGUAUUUCCAACCUUCAAGGUUGCAAAAAAAAAAAAAAAAAGAUUUUGAAAAUGUAAACAAUUCAGCUCAACAGCAGUAUCUGCCUGAGGCCAGGUCUACAUUACAAAAUUUGUCCUUGACUAUCUGCUGGGUGAAAUAGCCCCCUCUGUUACUGUGCUGUUGGGAGGAUUAGCAAACUCGAACAAGAUCCACGUGGAUAAUGGAUGGGAAGACUUGCCAUACAAAAAUGUACCCUGGAGAAGAGAGAACCUGUGUCCAAUCGUUGUUUGUCGCCUCUAGAUUUUGCAGGAGCCAACAAAAGAAGCACACUUUUCUAUUUAUUUUCACUGUUUAAAAGGAAAAUGAAGUUGUUGUUGGUUUGGGGUUUUUUCCCCCCUCACAGUGUUUCCUUAUACUUUUUCCAUACUCACAAUGUUCCACAAUCUGUCAAUAACCUCUUGAGAAGUACGCCAGAUCUGUAAUGAAUUCUUUGUAUCUUAAUCAUACAGUGCACAGCUGAGGAAAACCUCAAGCUUGCACCCCUGCAUCACAAAACCACAUUUCUCCACAUGCCAUUCCCUCUCAUAUCUUAUCUGUUUCUGCUGGAAACACUCUGGUGUCUUGACUAUCUCUCUUGGGAGCCUGAUCCCCUGCCUGGUUGCUCUGACUCUUAAAGACAUCUCCCCUGCUGCCCAAGCUGACUGGUUUUAUUUUUAGCUUUUGAACACUUAUAUGCUAUCACUGGUACAUUUUGCCAUUUUUCUAUAAUUCAAACCCUUUCCUACUUGGAUUUCCUCUAAGCCAGUUAAUGAUUAUUGGCUUCACCUUCCUCAGCCUAGCCCCUUUCCCCACAGCCUGCCUAGAAUCCUCUGUCUCUUCCAGCCCAGGUAUCUGUAUUCUAAAAUCUUAGAAUCACAGAACGGUUUGGAUUGGAAGGGGCCCUAAACAACAUCUAGUUCCAACUCCCUGCUGUGGGAAGGAAUACCUUUUACUGUCCCAGGUUGUUCCCAAAUCUAAGUCCAACCUGGCCUUGGAUGCUUCCAGGGAUGGGGCAGCCACAGCUUCUCUGGACACCCUGUGGCAGGGCCUCACCACCCUCACAGGGAAAAUCUUCCUGGGAUUUGCCCUGUUUCAGUUUGAAGCUGUUUGCCCUUGUCCUGUCACAGUAUGUUCUUGUAAAUGGUCCCUCUUCAUCUUUCUUAUAGGCUCCCUGCAGGUACUGGAAGGCCCCAAUUAUGUCACUGUCAUGGUUUAGGAAUGGUGCUCCCCAAUUUAGGGCUCCUACCAAGACUCUCCAACCCAUGCACUGUCACUUACUCCCCCAAAUCCCUUCUCCCCUCUGCAGCAGGAUGGAGAGGAGAAUUGGAGGCACAAAAAGCAAAGAUCAUGAGUUGAGAUAAGAACAAUUCACUGGAAACAGCAAUGAGAUAAGAAAAUAAACAGUAACAGCACUAUAGCAAUGACAGAGAGUACAAAAAAGAAAUAUUCUUGCUUACUGCAGGAGCCCCAACAACAGACAAUAAAUUGUUCCCUCUGGUUCAGAGCCUGGGCCUCCCCACUUCCCUAUUCAACUUAGUUACUCUGCUGGAAGGAGCCCCUUCUCCUCAGAAGAGACUCCCUUCCCCUUACCCCUAGCACUGACAGAAGGUGUUAGGAUAACUUCCAUGUCCUUGCCAUGACCUCUCCUGGCUACUACAAAAAUGAACCCUCUUGGGUGGGAGCAGGACAGUCACCCUGAAGCCUUCUCUUUUCCAGGCUGAACAAUCCCAGUUCUCCCAGUCUUUCCUCACAGCAGAGAUCCUCCAUCCCUUUAAUCAUCUUGUUGGCCUUCUCUGGACUCAUUCCAACAGUCGUUACUGUGCUGGGACUCCACUUCCCAUGGGCCACUUCUGGGGCUCAUCCAGGUCCCUCUGGAUUGGCCUGUCCUUCAGGUGUGUCCCUGCCCCCUCAGCUUGGUGUCAUCUGCAAACCUGCUGAGGGUGCACUCAAUCCCUUCAUCUGUGUUAUUAAUGAAGUUAUUUAAAUAACUUUGGUCCAGUGUGGACUCCUGAAGGACACCCCUUGUCACUGACUGAACAUCAGGACUCUGAACCAUUGAUCACUACCCCUGCAAAAAUGGCCUUUUUGAACCCUUUUCCCCAUCAGUGCAUAGGAUUCAAGACCAUGACUAUCUCCUAAAUGUUUGUCACCUUUACUUCUAAUUCGUCCAUGUAGAAUUAACUUCAUAGCAGAGGCUUUUACAAAGUUAAAUAGGAGGCAAGAUUACCACACACAAAAAGCCUCCAACAGGCAUGAUUUCUCUGAGGUGAUUAUGUUCCUUUGUUUGAGCUUAAAGUCAAAGUAAAUGGAGAAGGAAUGUCUCUUUUAUUUUAGCAAGAAGCUCCCCUUGUUGGUCACAGUUAUUUUCAUUCGCCUUAAAAAGAUAAACCUUGGUUUGCUGGCUCAAAUCCAGCUGAGGCUGAGAAACCUGGACAGCUUUACUCUUACCUCUGAACUUGGAUGGUGGCUCAAUGACACAAGAGUUUUCAUAGGAUUAUUCUUAAACUUGGGAAAGUUUCCUGGUUUAGUUGGUGGCCCAGCUUCAUGAGCAGUUGUGUCAGGUCCCAGGACAGCAAGGGACAGCAGAUGGAGCUCAUGAAACCAGCAGUGACUGCCAAAGUCCCUCUGCUUUUGAGCUGUGCCCCAAGUUUGAGUGGAGUCAAUGGGAUCUUCUGUAGAACCAGAACCUAAGUCCCUAAUUAGCAAAAGCUGUUAGAAGAAGAAGGAUGCUCAGCAACUGAAUUUGUGGCUGCCCACAUCACAGAAGCCACUAUCAUAAUUAGCUUUCUCAUGGAAUGUUUCAACAAGAAUUAAUGGGCACAGCGUGCUGAAAUGCUGGUCCCUCUGAAGGCAAUGGUGAAGUUCUCACUGAUUUCAAAAGGGCCAGGGUUUCACAUUGAAACUCAAGCUCAAGCCCUCAUGCCCCCAGCAGGAAAGUCUGCAGCACAGAAGCUGGGGAAAUGGGAUCUAAUGUUGCCAUCCAAUGAGGCCUGUUACAACGUUUCACAGAAUAAGAUAGGACACCCUGAACUGUGACAUCAUCGUCAUCAUCUUGCUACAUUGCUUAGGUCAUACAGCUUAUAAAGAAAAAUGUUUCAUCCAACUCUUCCUCAAAACAAGGUCAGUUCUAAUAAAUGUGAUAGAAAUGUCUGGCACAGUUUAUCCUAUUCCAAGAGUGCAAUGGGUUCACCACAACAUUCCUUCUUCAAUGAGUAGAGGACCAGAUCAUAGAAUAAUAAAGAAUUUCUUCCUAAUAUUUGCAUUCUUCCAGUUGGAAGCCGUUCUCCCUUGUCCUAUCACUAAUGCCCUAGUGAAAAGCCCUUCUCCAUCUGUAAGGCCCCUUCAGGCACUAGAAGGCUUGAAGCCUCCUCUUCUCCAGGCUGAACGACCCCAGCUCUCUCAUUUGUGGCAGAGGUGCUCCAGCCCCAAGCUCAUCUUUGUGCCUCACCUCUGGAUUCAGCAGGUCCACAUCCCUCCGAUGUGGGGAGGCCCAGAGCAGGAUGCAGGACUCCAGGUGGGCUCUCAUGAGAGCAGAAUCACCUCCCCCAGUGACCAUGUUUUCCCUCUUGAAGUUCAAUCACAAGCAUUGAUACUUUUCCCCUCACUUUUCCUCCAGUGCCAUAUGAACUCACCUUUUUACCAGGAUGUAGGUGCCUCUUAAGCAGAUUUCCUUGAACAGAGUUAUCUCUCUAGUCCAGCAAUUUUCUCCAAGCAUCAAACCUGACUUGUUUUUGCCAUUACUAUCACCACAACCAAAUCACAGCAAAAAUUAGUACUUCCACUAAUUCUAGGGCAAUUUUCCCAUCAAAUCCCCUUUUUUUAUCACACACGGAGUUGCAUUUUCUCCUUGCAUUUCAGUACUAUUUUAUUAUUCCCCCCAACUCUC